This 306-nucleotide unclassified non-coding RNA is filed under the name uncultured fungus. RNAcentral describes it as "partial contains small subunit ribosomal RNA, internal transcribed spacer 1, and 5.8S ribosomal RNA". The stretch from base 1 to 73 matches the Rfam family "Eukaryotic small subunit ribosomal RNA", at positions 1759 to 1831 of the family's 1831-position model. Lineage: Eukaryota; Fungi. The record is from RNAcentral.
GCAAACUUGGUCAUUUAGAGGAAGUAAAAGUCGUAACAAGGUUUCCGUAGGUGAACCUGCGGAAGGAUCAUUACCGAGUGCAUGCCCUCGCCCCUGGGCGUGGGCAGACCUCCCACCCCCUGUGUACCCUCCUGUUGCUUUGGUGGGCCGCCCGAUCUCGGGCCCCCGGCCUCCCAGGCUGGGGCGCGCCCACCGGAGCCCCCCCCUCUCGACCUGACCCGCGAGCCGUCUGAGUGGGAUAUGUGAGAAUCACGCAAAACUUUCAACAAUGGAUCUCUUGGCUCUGGCAUCGAUGAAGAACGCAGC